CCUACGUGAGGCAGCAGUGAGGAAUAUUGGUCAAUGGGCGAGAGCCUGAACCAGCCAAGUCGCGUGAGGGAGUACUGCCCUAUGGGUUGUAAACCUCUUUUGUCGGGGAGCAAAAGCCGGACGUGUCCGGCUGUGAGAGUACCCGAAGAAAAAGCAUCGGCUAACUCCGUGCCCGCAGCCGCGGUAAUACGGAGGAUGCGAGCGUUAUCCGGAUUUAUUGGGUUUAAAGGGUGCGCAGGCGGAUUUUUAAGUCAGCGGUCAAAUCGUGGGGCUAAACCCCAUCCCGCCGUUGAAACUGGGGAUCUAGAGUGUGCGAGAGGUAUGCGGAAUGCGUGGUGUAGCGGUGAAAUGCUUAGAUAUCACGCAGAACCCCGAUUGCGAAGGCAGCCUACUAAGCUGCCACUGACAUUGAUGCUCGAAAGUGUGGGUAUCAAACAGGAUUAGAUACCCUUGUAGUC
RNAcentral lists this ribosomal RNA (458 nucleotides) under uncultured bacterium. RNAcentral's name for it is "partial 16S ribosomal RNA". It matches the Rfam family "Bacterial small subunit ribosomal RNA", at positions 338 to 795 of the family's 1533-position model. The record is from RNAcentral.